UGGGGAAUAUUGGACAAUGGGGGGAACCCUGAUCCAGCCAUGCCGCGUGUGUGAAGAAGGCCUUAUGGUUGUAAAGCACUUUAAGCGAGGAGGAGGGUACUGGUAUUAAUACUACCAGGUACUGGACGUUACUCGCAGAAUAAGCACCGGCUAACUCUGUGCCAGCAGCCGCGGUAAUACAGAGGGUGCGAGCGUUAGUCGGAUUUACUGGGCGUAAAGCGUGCGUAGGCGGCUAAUUGAGUCGGAUGUGAAAUCCCCGAGCUUAACUUGGGAAUUGCAUUCGAUACUGGUUAGCUAGAGUGUGGGAGAGGAUGGUAGAAUUCCAGGUGUAGCGGUGAAAUGCGUAGAGAUCUGGAGGAAUACCGAUGGCGAAGGCAGCCAUCUGGCCUAACACUGACGCUGAGGUACGAAAGCAUGGGGAGCAAACAGG
RNAcentral lists this ribosomal RNA (430 nucleotides) under Pseudomonadota bacterium. Its description in RNAcentral is "Proteobacteria bacterium partial 16S ribosomal RNA". It matches the Rfam family "Bacterial small subunit ribosomal RNA", at positions 355 to 776 of the family's 1533-position model. Lineage: Bacteria; Pseudomonadati; Pseudomonadota. The record is from RNAcentral.